UUUAAAAUCUGGCGUCUUUCAGGCGUCCGAGUUGUAAUCUAUAGAGGCGUUUUCCGCGCCGGACCGCGUCCAAGUCUCUUGGAAUAGAGUAUCAAAGAGGGUGACAAUCCCGUACUUGACGCGACAACCGGUGCUCUGUGAUACGUUCUCAAUGAGUCGAGUUGUUUGGGAAUGCAGCUCUAAAUGGGUGGUAAAUUCCAUCUAAGGCUAAAUAUUGGCGAGAGACCGAUAGCGAACAAGUACCGUGAGGGAAAGAUGAAAAGCACUUUGGAAAGAGAGUUAAACAGCACGUGAAAUUGUUAAAAGGGAAACGAUUGAAGUCAGUCGUGUGAAAGGUAUUCAGCCGUCUCUGGCGGUGUAUUUGCCUUUCACGGGUCAACAUCAGUUUGAUCCGGUAGAAAAAGGCGGGAGGAAGGUGGCACCCUCGGGUGUGUUAUAGCCUCCUGUCAUAUGUGCCGGACCAGACUGAGGAACGCAGCUUGCCGCAAGGCCGGGGUUCGCCCACGUACAAGCUUAGGAUGUUGACAUAAUGGCUUUAAACGACCCGUCU
RNAcentral lists this ribosomal RNA (550 nucleotides) under Vishniacozyma victoriae. RNAcentral's name for it is "LSU rRNA". It matches the Rfam family "Eukaryotic large subunit ribosomal RNA", at positions 114 to 654 of the family's 3401-position model. The record is from RNAcentral. Lineage: Eukaryota; Fungi; Basidiomycota; Tremellomycetes; Tremellales; Bulleribasidiaceae.